RNAcentral lists this ribosomal RNA (498 nucleotides) under uncultured bacterium. Its description in RNAcentral is "partial 16S ribosomal RNA". It matches the Rfam family "Bacterial small subunit ribosomal RNA", at positions 29 to 507 of the family's 1533-position model. The record is from RNAcentral.
ACGAACGCUGACGGCGUGCUUAACACAUGCAAGUCGAACGGGCCCGCUCUCUUUUUUGGGGGUGGGUUGAGUGGCGAACGGGUGAGUAUCACGUGAGUAACCUGCCCCCUGCUCCUGGAUAACUGCUUGAAAGGGCGGCUAAUACGGGGUGUGCCGGCUGGUCCGCAUGGGCCUGGUCGGGAUAGUUUCAUCUUCGGGUGUUUCGGUGGGGGAUGGGCUCGCGGCCUAUCAGCUUGUUGGUGGGGUGAUGGCCCACCAAGGCGGUGACGGGUAGCCGGCCUGAGAGGGUGGGCGGCCACACUGGGACUGAGACACGGCCCAGACUCCUGCGGGAGGCAGCAGUGGGGGGUAUUGCACAAUGGACGGAAGCCUGAUGCAGCGACGUCGCGUGAGGGAUGGAGGCCUUCGGGUUGUGAACCUCUUUCUCCGGUGGUGAAGGCCCUGUCCGUUGCGGCGGGGUUGACGGUAGCCGGGUAUGAAGCGCCGGCUAACUACGUG